Molecule: ribosomal RNA, 484 nt
Filed under: uncultured bacterium
Lineage: Bacteria
Description: partial 16S ribosomal RNA
Rfam family: Bacterial small subunit ribosomal RNA
Source: RNAcentral
AUUGAACGCUGGCGGCAGGCCUAACACAUGCAAGUCGAGCGGAUGAAGGGAGCUUGCUCCUGGAUUCAGCGGCGGACGGGUGAGUAAUGCCUAGGAAUCUGCCUGGCAGUGGGGGCUAACGUCCGGAAACGGGCGCUAAUACCGCAUACGUCCUGAGGGUGAAAGUGGGGGAUCUUCGGACCUCACGCUAUCAGAUGAGCCUAGGUCGGAUUAGCUAGUUGGUGUGGUAAAGGCCUACCAAGGCGACGAUCCGUAACUGGUCUGAGAGGAUGAUCAGUCACACUGGAACUGAGACACGGUCCAGACUCCUACGGGAGGCAGCAGUGGGGAAUAUUGGACAAUGGGCGAAAGCCUGAUCCAGCCAUGCCGCGUGUGUGAAGAAGGUCUUCGGAUUGUAAAGCACUUUAAGUUGGGAGGAAGGGAAGUAAGUUAAUACCUUGCUGUUUUGACGUUACCAACAGAAUAAGCACCGGCUAACUUCGUG